RNAcentral lists this ribosomal RNA (860 nucleotides) under Ophiostoma ulmi. RNAcentral describes it as "LSU rRNA". It matches the Rfam family "Eukaryotic large subunit ribosomal RNA", at positions 74 to 964 of the family's 3401-position model. Lineage: Eukaryota; Fungi; Ascomycota; Sordariomycetes; Ophiostomatales; Ophiostomataceae. The record is from RNAcentral.
AUUGCCCCAGUAACGGCGAGUGAAGCGGCAACAGCUCAAAUUUGAAAUCUGGCCUUCGGGUCCGAGUUGUAAUUUGGAGAGGAUGCUUUUGGCGCGGCGCCGUCCGAGUUCCUUGGAACAGGACGCCAUAGAGGGUGAGAGCCCCGUACGGGCGGCCGCCUAGCCUUUGUAAAGCUCCUUCGACGAGUCGAGUAGUUUGGGAAUGCUGCUCAAAAUGGGAGGUAAAUUUCUUCUAAAGCUAAAUACCGGCCAGAGACCGAUAGCGCACAAGUAGAGUGAUCGAAAGAUGAAAAGCACUUUGAAAAGAGGGUUAAAAAGUACGUGAAAUUGUUGAAAGGGAAGCGCCUGUGACCAGACUUGCGACCCGUGGAUCAUCCGGUGUUCUUCACCGGUGCACUCCGCGGGCUGCAGGCCAGCAUCGGUUUUCCUAGGGGGAUAAAGGUCGCAGGAACGUAGCUCUUUCGGGAGUGUUAUAGCCUGUGGCGUCAUGCCUCUGGGGAGACCGAGGACCGCGCUUCGGCAAGGAUGCUGGCGUAAUGGUCACCGGCGACCCGUCUUGAAACACGGACCAAGGAGUCAAGCAUUGGGGCGAGUGUCUGGGUGCCAAACCCGCACGCGAAAUGAAAGUAAACGCAGGUGAGAGCUUCGGCGCAUCACCGACCGAUCCUGAUGUCUUCGGAUGGAUUUGAGUAAGAGCCUUACCGCUUGGACCCGAAAGAUGGUGAACUAUGCCUGUAUAGGGUGAAGCCAGAGGAAACUCUGGUGGAGGCUCGCAGCGGUUCUGACGUGCAAAUCGAUCGUCAAAUAUGGGCAUGGGGGCGAAAGACUAAUCGAACCAUCUAGUAGCUGGUUACCGCCGA